Pelobates cultripes (western spadefoot toad) is the source of this 11190-nucleotide non-coding RNA. The record is from the annotation of a GenBank genome assembly. Lineage: Eukaryota; Metazoa; Chordata; Amphibia; Anura; Pelobatidae.
GUUUAUCCAAAAACAUUAGAUUAACUGAAAAGAUUAUCCAAAAAUCUUAAAUCAAGGCCACAGUGCCUAAACCAGGUGAGGUGAGUAAUAAGUUAUCAAACUACUGUAUCAAGGCAGACCUUAGAAGUUCAAUGUCCUGAAAAUCCUUCAGGACUUUAUGUAUCCACGUGGACACCUAGUCAAUGUGUGUUGGCUGCCCUCAUAGGUAAAUGCCAAUACAUGUUGGGUUUCCUUUUGUAAGGAAAUAGGAAAGAAGGCUUAAAAUGGAUUAUAAUAUAAAAAGAAUCAGUGUCCGUGAUUGUAGCUGGAUUAGGAAUCAGUAGACAAAUGGGUCCUACAAUAGCAUUAAUGGCUCUGCAAUCUUGAAUAAAGUGGUUCUAGUGAUACUGCCCUUCAGUGGAGGAUUUCUUGAUGGUAUGGUGUUUUAAAGGCCGAAUUGUUGUAUUGAUCUAAUAAAUGUUGUAUAAUGAGAAUAAUUCUCUUUAGUGAUUCCUGAAUAAGAGGGUAUGUGAUAUUUUGGGCACUUAAACAUUAUUACUGGUCCAGCUGAGGGGAUUUGUCCUAUCAUAGUAGAUGGUAAUCAUUGCAAAAUUGCCUCAUCUUUGGAUGCCAUUAUUAGGCAAGAGUUGUAAUCACUAGAGACAAAUAUUGGUUCCAAAGUGUCAUUCACCAAAUCAUGAUGUACAUCAGCGAUGACUUGAUAGAUCCCAUCAGGAGGGUAUUAAAUCAGUCCAACUUUGAUAAUAGAUUUUUGCCUAAAAGUGUGUAGGGGCAUGUGAAGCUUAAUAAUAAGGAUUUUUCUUCUUUUCAUUAGUGGAAUAUUAAUUUAGAUAGUUUGCUGAAGAGUGUUGAGGACAAUAUUGUUAGAUGUGUCAAUCAAAAAGGAUUCAUUUUGUUAUUCAGUUCCCAAGUUACAAUGGGACUUUCUUUGUUUACAGUAACUAGCAGUGCACAUGGUUCAUUAUGUCAUUGUGAAUCAGCAAGAGCAUUCAGACAGAAAGGGGAGAGAGGGGGAGGAAAAAUAUAUUAACUGUCUCCUUCCUUUUUUAGUCUCUCCUGUUGUGUAUCCAUCCCAUCUUGUUGUAAGGUUCUGAACUCUUGGGCAAAGAGACCAAUCUUCCAUACAUGAAACAUUAUCCUUGGUGUAUUACUUUUAACCCUUCCCCAGAUUCUUCCGUGUGACUUUCCUGUUAUAGAACUUUAAAGGGACACUAUAGUCACCAAAACAACUUUACCUCAAUGAAACAGUUUGUGUACAGUGGUGCAUAGAUCAUGUACCUGCAGUCUGACUGCUCAAUUCUCUGUCAUUUAGGAGUUAAAUCACUUUGUUUAUGAACCCUAGUCACACCUCCCUGCAUGUGACUUGCACAGUCUUCAUAAAUACUUCCUGUAAAGAGUCAUCUAAUGCUUAUCCUUCCUUUAUUGCAAGUUCUGUUUAAUUUAGAUUUUCUUAUCCCCUGCUAUGUUAAAAGCCUGCUAGAACCUGCAAGAGCCUCUUGUAUGUGAUUAAAGUUCAAUUUGCAGUGAAAGAGAUACAAUUGUUUAGCGUAAAUUACAUCUGAUUGAAAGUGAAACCAGUUUUUUUUUUCAUGCAAGCUGUGUCAAUCAGGUGUGGCAAUAGUUGCAGAAACAGAAACAAAGUGACUUAACUCCUAAAUGGUAGUGAACUGAGCAAUGAAACCUGAGAGGCAUGAUCUAUACAUGAAAACUGCUUCAUUAAGCUAAAGUUUUUUAGGUGACUAUAGUGUCCCUUUAACUAAGCAGCCAUAAGAUUUGAAUACAGGCAUUUCUUUUUGAUAGAAAUUAAUUUAACAUUGGCACCAAUGUAAUAUUCUUGGAUAAAUAUUUGUAAGUGUAUCCAAUAAUUGGCAAUGUCUACAGAUUUUGUAUAUGUAUCAACAAUAAAACCAAUAUAACACAUUACAACCAUGUCUGAUGAUAUUAUUUUACUGUCUCCCAGAAAUCAUCUACUAUUAUGCAGAUAUGACCAACAUGUACAGGUAGGUCCUGGCCAAGAAUAAUCAUCAUUGAGGGUGUAUUUGGUGUAUUCUGCCCCUUUGCCAUAUUUGGGAGUCUUGAUGGGUCUAACAUUGCAAUUGUGUCUAGCUUUUUAAACUCAAACCACUGAAAAUAAACAUAUAUAAAGGAGUAAAAAAAGAAAAGAAAGGUGCCAGGGAGAGGUAAGCCAAAAUAUGCAGGACUUUCCCUAUUUCCCACUUCCACUCACAGUAUUCCUUCCAAGGUUCCCCCGAUGUUUAUGGAAUUUGGGUAGUGUGCUUCUUUAAUUUUGAAUAGGACUGUUGGAAUCUCAGGUUUUAGCCAUGAUUGUGUGAUGGCUCUCCAAGCUGCCAAAUUGAUCAUGUUAAAUAGCUUCUUUGUAUGUGUACCCUCUAUCAGCCGGGCAAGUAGGAAGUGCCAUGCAUUAUAUCUUAUAUCAGGGUGUUUACUUCCCUGCACAAUCUCUCCACCCUUGAGCAGGUCCCCCACAUAUGUAUAUGUUUCUCUCUCUCCACUCUUACACCAGCAUUCAUCUGGCACACUGCAUAUGCUUGCCAGAUGAGGAACUAAAGUGUUGAUAUACGGUAGUGUUGUUAUUAAACUCAACUGCGUGGUUUCAUCUAGGCAUAGUUUCUCAAAAAAUGGUAAUGGAGAAGGUGCUGCUUGGUUCACCAACUUUAAGUUUGUGAAAACUUUGAGUUGAAGGUACCGGAAGUAAUCGCCUGGAGUCAAAUGUUUAAUGCUUUGCAAGUCUGAAACUGAUUAUCUCAUUGUUGCAAUAUAGUUGUCAGUAUUGCUGUAGCCCUAUGUUCUCUAUGCCCCUAAAAUCCCUUGCCCUCUUGCCAGGUAUAAAUGCUUUAUUUUUCAAGUAUGGUGUCAUCAGGGAGGAAGAUAAACCUAGCAAAUAUUUCCCACCAAUUGUAUUCUAGAGAUGUAGAAAUAUAACUUUUGCUGCGUAGGGAGAGCAUAUAAGUUCUCUCUGAGAUCUUGGGACCCACAUGUAGAACUGAGGAAUAGCUGCCCCCAUAAUAAGUGACUCUAUCUCAACCCAGCAUCUGCAGUCAUGGGGAGAAUGCCAGUGAAUCACCUCCUGGGCCAUGUGUGCUGCUAGUUAAUAAAAAUAACUCAGUUUUGGUCGGUAUAGUAAGUUUUGGACCAAUCGGUGGUGUUUAUGCUAAUAUAUGAAUUCAUCAAUGGCGGUUUGUAGGCUGGCUAGAUCUCACAUUGUGACCCUGCUCGGAAGGAAUUGAAAUAGAGUAUUCUAGGCAGUAUAUUCAUCAUAAGUGAAUGGAUUUGUCCUAUCCUGAAAACAUUUGUCCUGAUCGGAAACUAGGUGUUUGUUUGAGUGUAGUUUUGGGAGAACAGCAAUGUGGGAUCAGCUGUGAUCACCUAAUUAAGAGAGAGCCUCUCUCUCGACUUUGAGUUGGUAUAACGCUUAAGCCCGCAGUAGCCAUGUUUUUGGGACAUAGCCACUGAUAUUGUCAUAUUGACCAUGUAUCCUGAUAUAUGCCCAAAGGAUUGCAGGAUAUCAUGUAGGUAGCCAACAGAUGCAAUUGGAUCUGCCAAAUUGAGCAUUACAUCAUCAGCAUAGGCUGACAUUUUAAAGGUGCUUUCUGUAAUCUCGACUCCCUUAAGUGUUAGGAUGCAUUCUUACUGAGUUUACCAGGGGUUGUAAGGAUAUCACAAAUAACAUUCCUGAUGUGUUCCAUUGCUCAAGUAAAAUGGAGUUGGCCAUGCCCAGUAAUGAGUGUUGUGCUCUGGGGUUAGAGUACAGUGCUUUCACUGCUGUAGUAUUUGAAAAAUCCAAGGAGCUCAAAUAGUUAUGUCCAUAUUACUCCGUUGAGCUCCUCCUUUACAUUCAAAGAAAGAACCAGAGACAGUGUUUUUGUAUCUCACAACCGCUAGAUCAGAUCCUCCCACUCUGGGUAUUUUUGUAAAUCUUUCUAUAAGGUAUGAAACUAACCUGGUCGUAAUCUAUCAGGUAGCCCACUAUCUGAUUCAAGCGCUCUGUGAGAUUUUUUACGUUUGCUGUUAAUGAUAUAGGUCUUACUGGAGACCAGAGUGUCAUCACUUCCCAAUUUUUGUUAGCAAUACAAUAUUAACUAGAACAAUGUGUUCAUUUGGUGUCCCUCCUUGUCCAAAACCAUAAGAAAUUGUUUCUAUAUGAGGAACCAGUUCUUUGCUAAACACUUUAUAAUAUCUUUAUAAUAUCCCCCAUCAAACCUGUCUGGGCUGGUGCAGUAUUUCCUUUUAAUGCCAAGAUAGCUGAGGUUAUCUGAUCUUGUGUUAUAGGGGAUGCCAAGGUAUUGGCUGUGUCUAAUUGGUAUAUCAGGCUAUGCCAAAGUGGCAAAAUAUUAUUUUAUGUCUGCAAGAUAUUGGGCGUUAUUUUUGUUAUGAUGGGGAGGGUGAUUGUAUAAAGUUGAGUAGUAUUAUGUUAACACUGAUUGAUGCCUCCUAGUGAUGUUCCUACUCUUUCUGAGGGAUCCCAUAUGGUUGUGCCAGUUUAGUUCCACUAUGUGGAUGCAACACCCUGACCAGGAGAGUGUCCAUUUUAUUGGACUUCUCGUAAAAUAAUCUUUUAGAUUAUAAUAUGUAACGGGCCAAGUCCUCUAUGGCUAGCUCCUUUAAAGUGUUGAGAAUGGCACUCAAUUCUGUAAAGUUUUCAGGAGUUGGGUUUGAUUUAUGUUGUUGUUCCAUUUUCUGGACUGCUCCCUGCCACCUUAAUAAAAUGUCCACGUAAAACCGCUUUGUUGGAUUCCCAGAUUGUAGUCUUGUGCAUUUCAGGAGUUAUAUUAUGUUCAAAAUAUUCUCAGAUAAUUUUUUGAGUUGUACUGACCAACUCUGUAUCCUGAAGUAAGAACAAGAUGUUUUCUAUGUCCAGGAGUAUGCGGUUUUCAAUUUUCUAAAGGUGAUAGAUAUAUCUGCGUGGUCCGACCAUGUAAUAUUGUCGAUGUCUGUCCUAUUGUCAUGCUCCUGAGCAGGUCAGAGAGGAGACUAUUGCAAGGGUUAUUGGUUAAAACUUUAUUUGUCGUAUUAGACAUAACAAAUUUAAUGAAAAUAAAGAAUAAAGGUCAGUCUGCCACAAAAAGGAUACUUUGUGAGAAAAAAAAGGGUUUAGGCGAUAUGCCACAAACAAGAUCUUUAGAAAGUAAAUUAACAAAGUCUUUUGUAUACAAGCAAGCUUGAAGUUAUACCAAGUAGUUAAGAAUUUCCAGGAUAGUUUGAAAUGCAGCUCGUUAUAGGUAAAUACCUUUUAGGAUAAGGCAAUACAGGAUCAUGCAGAGUUGCAGAGGUUGAAACAGGUAGGUAUAUUCCAAAAUAAUAUAAUGCAGGUUGCUUACAAGAUCAUGCAGUGAUGCAGCAAUUGAAGCAGUUAAGAUUCUUCAAUGAAGGCAAUACGCCACAAAUCAGGAUUCUUGGAAGCUGAUAAGGAAAGUCUUUCGGUAGGAUGUAAUUCAGGCAAGUUCAAGAUGAAGUAAUGCAGGUUAGUGCCUUUCAAUACGAGGAAAUGCAGAUGAGUACAGGAUGAGGCACUGCAGGUAAGUUCUCUACAGGAUGAAAUAAUGUAGAUAAAAUACAGGAUAUUACCAGGAACAGAGAUUCUUUAUCAGAGCAUAGACUUCAAUGUCAAUGCACUGUUGUGUGCCGGGAGUAGACUUCUCAAGCCUCCUAAUUAGUUAAUCCAGGUGAGGUUAUUAAGGUGAGUGAAUAGAUUAGUGGCUAGGGAGGCCACUAGAGUAGAAAAUCAUGAAGUUCACUUAAAGGGCCAGUAAUAAACGAAAAAGUCUUACAUGCCAGUUUUGAAACCUGACACCUAUCAACCUUUGCCAUUUCAACAUUGUUUAUCAGGAAGUAGGCAAUUUUGUUUAUCAUGAAGUAGUCAAUUCUAGAUUAUGUAGAAUGUGGUGUUGGGUAGAAUGUGUAGUCAAUGGUGUCAGGGUGCUGUAUCCACCAGGCAUUUUACAUUCCAGUGCUUCUAUGAACCUGUGCACUAAUUUAAUCUGUCCCCCAUCCCAUGGGAUCAAGCAUACCCUGCAUGGAGCUUCUGUCUACUAUUGGACACGGCACCGCAUUGAAGUCACCCCUCCCAACAAUAUUAUUCCAUACAACAUUGAGUGCACCAACUCUUUUCGUAAGUAAGUUUGUUCAUGUGUGAUGGGAGCAUAUAUGUUCAGCAAGUUAUAGGUCACUAGUUCAUGUUGUACAGUGUUCCUGUGAUGAGCACAUAUCUUCCUGCUGGGUCUGCUUUGGAAUAUGUCACUUACAAUGGAUAUUACUUGUGUUUGAGGAUGGCAACCCUGUUUCCAGGUUGCAAAGGUCGCAACUGCGAGCAGGCCCUAGGGUUCCUACUGUCAGUGUGGCCCAGCGGAGACCAUUCCCACUGUUUGCUUUAGCAGGAACGUUUGUGUUCUUGCAAACAUGCAAAAACAUUUUAAUUUUGACAUACACAUAAUACCUUAUUGAAUAUUUUGAACCAUCUUAGAUUACCAGUCCUAGUUCCAGCAAUCACCCGCAUUCUAUACCAUCCCUCCCAACAUGGGUAGGGGUUGCUUCUGCCCACACUUUUUCUCUUCUAGACACGGGGUGUCCCAGAUUACAAAGAACUUUGUGGGAUGUCCUGUCUAAUAGAGUUAUCAGAGGUGUUGUUAUGCUUUCCAAUUUUAAUUCUCUUUUAACUACUGUAAUGUAAUAUCUUUUCUAACUAUUGUGUGGUAUGUUGUCUACCCCUGGGCUUGUUUUCUACCCUGGCACUCAAAUCUGUUUGUGUUUAGGCCUUGGUAAGUACACGUUUGGAGCUAAUUUAGGGCCUCUGUUAAUUUGGUUUGAACAUGGUGAUGUACCCCACCCACCCCACCAACACACUUCCGUUGCAUUUUGUCUGGGAUGACUUGUUUACCAUAGAAAGAUGCUUUUUUCUGCUUAAAGAAGGAGGAAUUGUAUUAUUUAGAUCAUUUGCAGCCUUCAUAUGAGUCCGUUAGUUAUAUCAUCAGGCCUUUCUUAUUGUGAUCAGGCCACAUGCUAAGGCUCCGCAUGGAGGAGGGGAACAUAGUGAUAUAAAGGUCUAUGGGCCAAUGUGGGCUUCCACAGUUGCCUCCAGGGUUUACAAACAGGUAGUGAGAGAGUUAAUGUGUUCUGUCAUCCUGUUAUGAGAAUCUCCACUUCAAUUCUCUACUCUAAAAUGGUCAGUUGAAUCCCCAAGGCCUAGAUGUUAAAGGUUUUGAAGAAAUCACUUGCCUAUCUUUCCCACUUCCCUUUACUGUCAGCUGUCUUUAUGCACCUUGGGUUUUACUGUCAGUUAUCGGAUGCAAUACUCACAAUUUUCACAAUUUGUGUGUUACCUUUUGGAAUGGCCCGUCAGAGAGUGCAGCAAGCAAAAAAGCAGCUGAUGGUUGCAAAACAGUUAACAUUGGAUAGGAUAGCUGGCUCACGGUGCAUAAAAUGGCUGUGAAAAGGGGGUAGUGGGAUAGGCAAAUAAUUUCUUCAUAAAUUUCAACAUAAAUUAAAACUAUUGGUUUUGUUUUAACUCUCAAUGAUCCCUUUAGUACAUACCAUAAUAUAAUUACAUUACGAAAUUCCUAGGAAGAUCCGUGAUCUCUCUUAAACAAAUCUCUAGGUUGGGCUAAACAUGUGCUACCUAAUGACUGUAUCACUAGUAAUACAGAUUUUAUGGUUAAGUCAAAACUAGUAACCAUGGUUAUUUUCAAAGGUAGAGUUAACGGUUGUAAUAAAUUCACGUCAGUGUUCUUUAUAUUGCUCAGAUUCAUGCAAUCUGCAACUAGAACUAAACAUGCAUAUGUUAAGCUAAACAACGGGAACAUUAUAGGAAUCAGAAUAGGAAUCGGAGUAGUAUUUCUCAACUCCUUUAAAUGUAGGAGAGAGAAUAAUCUCUGGGUCCCAGCUAUGGCGGUAAACUGAACACCAUUAUUAUUAUUAUUAUAUUAUUUAUAUAACUCCAUCAAAUUCCGUAGCGCUGUACAAUGGGAUAAACUCGUGUGCCCUGGCUGGAAUGCAGUUAAAGGGUGUGCCAUUGGCUACAUUAUUCUUUAAAUUAAAACAAACAUAACAGGUGUCAUUAGUAUAGAAGGCUGCAACUUGGCUAGCUAACAAAACAAUAACAAUAACUGAUAUAUAUACAAUCAUGUUAUCGUGUUUAAAACAAAUAAAUUAAACUUAAAGGAAUACUGUCAUCAAUUCUUUAAAUUUUUAUGGUUAAUAUACCAUCUUGUUAUUUUUUGUUUAAUUCUUGUAAUAUUUGAUUAAAUUACUUGACUACGUUUCCUAUUCCCCUGGCUGAUAGCCAUAUUUAUGCACCUUCUAUCAGAGUGUCAGUUGUCUGACCAAGUGCUCAAGAGAGAGUGCCAAAGGUUCACAGCUGAUUCCAUUAACAGGGCAGUGGCGGCUAUACAAAACAAGCUGCCACUGAAUCUAAGGCAGCACUGUAGUAUGGACAAUUGGAUGAUAAGUAAAGCCAUACUACUAGGUAAGAACCCAGAAGCAAACCAUGGCAAAAUAAAGUCUUAGGUAAUCCAUAAUUUGGAAGUCCCAAAGCAGGGGCAGAAAAUAAAUGUCUGGAGAACCAAAAAGGCUCAUUCACAUUACUUGGGUUAUAGAAGGUAGGUUUAAAAUAUUCCUUUCUGAGUGAGGGUUCGUAUAGGGGCAACUAUUGAUGACAAAUGUGGCAUCUAGAAUUGUGCACAGCGGAAACAUUUGUUUUGGCUCAAAAAAAUAAAUUCAGGAUGGCCGGAUUUUGGCCAUAUGGUGAAUUACUCUUUUUUGCCUGCACUGGUGGAAUCCCAAAUCGUAAAUAAAAACAAACAUAAAUCCAUUGUGCAUUUUGUUUGUUUCGUGAUUCAGCUACUUUUUUUUCCCAGGGUUUGGGAAUUCAGACGAUCACCCCAUCGACCAAAAUUCAGGCAAAUUGUAGUUUGGAACAAAACUGCCUAAAAAUGAUCUUACUCCCUUUACGGUGCAUUUACAUGUCAUGCAGUCUACAUGCACUUGAAGCACAGAGAAUGCGAUUCAUUUGACAAGUUGUGACCCAACUAUUUAUCAGUGAGUCACGAUUAUAGUUUUGUUCCUUUUUUAGCAAAAAGGUGCAGAUGUUUCAGACAGUUCUGCUGCACUGGCCUCUGUUUAAUAUUUUUGUUGAGCUUUUCAAAUGAUUUUGUAUUUCUGGAUACAUUUUUAAAAAAAAUGAUUUUUUUUAUAUUACAAUAUCAAAAAUAUAUUACAUAUAAAAUAUAUCAAUAUCUCAGAAAAUAUUAAAUAGUAAAAUAUUAAAAUAUUUUUUAUAAUAUUCAAUAAUUUAAAAAGUUUAUCCAAAAACAUUAGAUUAACUGAAAAGAUUAUCCAAAAAUCUUAAAUCAAGGCCACAGUGCCUAAACCAGGUGAGGUGAGUAAUAAGUUAUCAAACUACUGUAUCAAGGCAGACCUUAGAAGUUCAAUGUCCUGAAAAUCCUUCAGGACUUUAUGUAUCCACGUGGACACCUAGUCAAUGUGUGUUGGCUGCCCUCAUAGGUAAAUGCCAAUACAUGUUGGGUUUCCUUUUGUAAGGAAAUAGGAAAGAAGGCUUAAAAUGGAUUAUAAUAUAAAAAGAAUCAGUGUCCGUGAUUGUAGCUGGAUUAGGAAUCAGUAGACAAAUGGGUCCUACAAUAGCAUUAAUGGCUCUGCAAUCUUGAAUAAAGUGGUUCUAGUGAUACUGCCCUUCAGUGGAGGAUUUCUUGAUGGUAUGGUGUUUUAAAGGCCGAAUUGUUGUAUUGAUCUAAUAAAUGUUGUAUAAUGAGAAUAAUUCUCUUUAGUGAUUCCUGAAUAAGAGGGUAUGUGAUAUUUUGGGCACUUAAACAUUAUUACUGGUCCAGCUGAGGGGAUUUGUCCUAUCAUAGUAGAUGGUAAUCAUUGCAAAAUUGCCUCAUCUUUGGAUGCCAUUAUUAGGCAAGAGUUGUAAUCACUAGAGACAAAUAUUGGUUCCAAAGUGUCAUUCACCAAAUCAUGAUGUACAUCAGCGAUGACUUGAUAGAUCCCAUCAGGAGGGUAUUAAAUCAGUCCAACUUUGAUAAUAGAUUUUUGCCUAAAAGUGUGUAGGGGCAUGUGAAGCUUAAUAAUAAGGAUUUUUCUUCUUUUCAUUAGUGGAAUAUUAAUUUAGAUAGUUUGCUGAAGAGUGUUGAGGACAAUAUUGUUAGAUGUGUCAAUCAAAAAGGAUUCAUUUUGUUAUUCAGUUCCCAAGUUACAAUGGGACUUUCUUUGUUUACAGUAACUAGCAGUGCACAUGGUUCAUUAUGUCAUUGUGAAUCAGCAAGAGCAUUCAGACAGAAAGGGGAGAGAGGGGGAGGAAAAAUAUAUUAACUGUCUCCUUCCUUUUUUAGUCUCUCCUGUUGUGUAUCCAUCCCAUCUUGUUGUAAGGUUCUGAACUCUUGGGCAAAGAGACCAAUCUUCCAUACAUGAAACAUUAUCCUUGGUGUAUUACUUUUAACCCUUCCCCAGAUUCUUCCGUGUGACUUUCCUGUUAUAGAACUUUAAAGGGACACUAUAGUCACCAAAACAACUUUACCUCAAUGAAACAGUUUGUGUACAGUGGUGCAUAGAUCAUGUACCUGCAGUCUGACUGCUCAAUUCUCUGUCAUUUAGGAGUUAAAUCACUUUGUUUAUGAACCCUAGUCACACCUCCCUGCAUGUGACUUGCACAGUCUUCAUAAAUACUUCCUGUAAAGAGUCAUCUAAUGCUUAUCCUUCCUUUAUUGCAAGUUCUGUUUAAUUUAGAUUUUCUUAUCCCCUGCUAUGUUAAAAGCCUGCUAGAACCUGCAAGAGCCUCUUGUAUGUGAUUAAAGUUCAAUUUGCAGUGAAAGAGAUACAAUUGUUUAGCGUAAAUUACAUCUGAUUGAAAGUGAAACCAGUUUUUUUUUUCAUGCAAGCUGUGUCAAUCAGGUGUGGCAAUAGUUGCAGAAACAGAAACAAAGUGACUUAACUCCUAAAUGGUAGUGAACUGAGUAAUGAAACCUGAGAGGCAUGAUCUAUACAUGAAAACUGCUUCAUUAAGCUAAAGUUUUUUAGGUGACUAUAGUGUCCCUUUAACUAAGCAGCCAUAAGAUUUGAAUACAGGCAUUUCUUUUUGAUAGAAAUUAAUUUAACAUUGGCACCAAUGUAAUAUUCUUGGAUAAAUAUUUGUAAGUGUAUCCAAUAAUUGGCAAUGUCUAC